RNAcentral lists this transfer RNA (75 nucleotides) under Candidatus Amesbacteria bacterium RIFCSPHIGHO2_01_FULL_48_32. RNAcentral's name for it is "tRNA-Arg". It matches the Rfam family "tRNA". Rfam says of the family: Transfer RNA (tRNA) molecules are approximately 80 nucleotides in length. Their secondary structure includes four short double-helical elements and three loops (D, anti-codon, and T loops). Lineage: Bacteria; Candidatus Amesiibacteriota. The record is from RNAcentral. RNAcentral also lists the same sequence under 1 other name.
GCACCCAUAGUUCAACGGAUAGAAUAGGGCUUUGCGGAAGCUCUGAUGACCGUUCGAUUCGGUCUGGGUGCACAA